Long non-coding RNA from Acanthaster planci (crown-of-thorns starfish), 611 nucleotides. RefSeq lists it as uncharacterized. The record is from RefSeq and is a predicted model, not a curated record. NCBI's taxonomy places the organism in Eukaryota, Metazoa, Echinodermata, Asteroidea, Valvatida, Acanthasteridae.
UCUUAAUGAAUUUUGCUUGAUCAGAGGAUUCCAAGGUAAUCCCAUAAAAGCUGAACUGAAACCAAAUUCAUGCACUGGCACAAGAAAUUGCAAAAGGAGUUGACACCGAAUAGGCAUGGUCGCUAGGGUGCACGUAUAGUGAGGCGGGCAGGUGCGUUUGGAGGCUGGAUGGAUGAUGUGCUGGAACUGGUUCUGGUGCACUUUGUACUACUGCUGGAGUGAAAGCUAGAGAUAAAUUUGUUUUCCAUGUUAGCUCCAAGCAAUGGAAUUCAACGUCAUGAGGCACAAGUACCAACGAUAGAGGAAGUUGCUGUAUGUACCACAAAGCAAGGAAAUUACUACAGAUGUUUACCUGCACAGACAUGAGGGCAGUCUUCACACAGUGGCCUCGGUAUCAAUGAUGGAUAAGAGCAGUCAAAGCAGGACUGAUCAUGAGAAGUAUGAAAACAGCUCCAUCAAUCUACUGGGAGCAAGACUGCAACCAACUGGAAGCACCCUUCCAGCUGCUGUUGAAGUGAAAGCCGCAUGUUUAGAAUUCAACAUAACUGCAGUUACAUGUACAUCAGAUGUACGGCCAUCCACACUGGCAGAAGCUGCUGCACAACCAAGCA